This 503-nucleotide ribosomal RNA is filed under the name uncultured bacterium. RNAcentral's name for it is "partial 16S ribosomal RNA". It matches the Rfam family "Bacterial small subunit ribosomal RNA", at positions 30 to 523 of the family's 1533-position model. The record is from RNAcentral.
AUUGAACGCUGGCGGCAGGCUUAACACAUGCAAGUCGAGCGGGGUGAUGGUGCUUGCACUAUCACUUAGCGGCGGACGGGUGAGUAAUGCUUAGGAAUCUGCCUAUUAGUGGGGGACAACAUCUCGAAAGGGAUGCUAAUACCGCAUACGUCCUACGGGAGAAAGCAGGGGAUCACUUGUGACCUCGCGCUAAUAGAUGAGCCUAAGUCGGAUUAGCUAGUUGGUGGGGUAAAGGCCUACCAAGGCGACGAUCUGUAGCGGGUAUGAGAGGAUGAUCCGCCACACUGGGACUGAGACACGGCCCAGACUCAUACGGGAGGCAGCAGUGGGGAAUAUUGGACAAUGGGGGGAACCCUGAUCCAGCCAUGCCGCGUGUGUGAAGAAGGCCUUAUGGUUGUAAAGCACUUUAAGCGAGGAGGAGGCUCUUUUGGUUAAUACCCAAGAUGAGUGGACGUUACUCGCAGAAUAAGCACCGGCUAACUCUGUGCCAGCAGCCGCUGUAA